RNAcentral lists this ribosomal RNA (492 nucleotides) under uncultured bacterium. RNAcentral's name for it is "partial 16S ribosomal RNA". It matches the Rfam family "Bacterial small subunit ribosomal RNA", at positions 29 to 507 of the family's 1533-position model. The record is from RNAcentral.
AGUGAACGCUGGCGGUAGGCCUAACACAUGCAAGUCGAACGGCAGCACAGUAAGAGCUUGCUCUUACGGGUGGCGAGUGGCGGACGGGUGAGGAAUACAUCGGAAUCUACUUUUUCGUGGGGGAUAACGUAGGUAAACUUACGCUAAUACCGCAUACGACCUACGGGUGAAAGCAGGGGAUCUUCGGACCUUGCGCGAUUGAAUGAGCCGAUGUCGGAUUAGCUAGUUGGCGGGGUAAAGGCCCACCAAGGCGACGAUCCGUAGCUGGUCUGAGAGGAUGAUCAGCCACACUGGAACGGAGACACGGUCAAGACUCCUACGGGAGGCAGCAGUGGGGAAUAUUGGACAAUGGGCGCAAGCCUGAUCCAGCCAUACCGCGUGGGUGAAGAAGGCCUUCGGGUUGUAAAGCCCUUUUGUUGGGAAAGAAAAGCAGCAGGUUAAUACCCCGCUGUUCUGACGGUACCCAAAGAAUAAGCACCGGCUAACUUCGUG